CAGCUAAAUUCUUACCAAAAAUGAUAGAGGGCAGAAGACAAUGGAAUAGCAUCUUUGAAGGAAUUGAAAAAAAAAAGACCCCAUUAAUCAGAAUUUUAUAUCUAGGUAAAUUGUCCUUGAAGUAAAAGAUAGAUGUUUAAAGAUAAUGUAGGGCUGGGUGUGGAUUUCAGGGGUAGAGCGUUUGCCUGGCAUGUGCAAUGUCCUGUGUUCAAUCCCCAGUACUGAAGAAAAAGUUAUCCAUUUAAAGAGUUAAAAAAUAAAUGCAAACAAAGAAUUCAUUGCUAUUCGACCAGCACAAGAAGAAAUGAUAAAAUAAAUUCUUCAGACUGAAGGGGAACAAUACUCAAUGGAAAUUUGAAUCUUCAGAAAGAAAUGCAAAACACGAGAAAUGGUUGAUAUUAAAGGCUAUUUUUCUCUUAAUUUCUUUCAAGUGCAUGUGACAUUUUAAAGCAAAAUUACAAUAUUUAAUUAUUUUUUAAACAAAUUUUAAUUCUAAUUUGUUAUAUUUUAAUUCUAAUUUGUUAUCGACAGCAGAAUGCAUUACAAUUCAUAUAGACAUAUAGAGCACAAUUUUUCAUAUCUCUGGUUGUACACAAAGCAGAGUCACACUGUUCAUGUCUUCAUACGUGUUCUUAGGACAACAGUUAAUUUUUAACACAUGUCAGUAUAAUACAUAGGACAACUCCAGUAGAAAUGAGGGGGCCGGAAAAUGGACCUGGCUGGUUUCAAGAGCAUUUUUCACUCUUAUUUUAGUGAAAUACAAGAAGACAACCAAUUUACAAUUUCUGUUUAGCCCCACUCAUUAGAAAUAGGUCUUAUUCACAUUCUUCAACUAGAAUUAUAAUAAUACUGUAUUAUAACCAGUAUUAUAAUAAUACUGCCUAUUGCUGUAAAGUAUAAAAUAUUGAAGUGUUUCUCCCUGUUAUCUGCCCAAGAAAUUGAUCUGACAAUUCAGAUCCAUGCUGUCGUCUCCAAGAAUCUUCCAUUUUAUUUAAAAUGGCACAAGAUCAACUGUUAGGUAGGCUAUGAAAAUUUUGAAGAUGUAUAUUGUAAUCUGUAGAGCAAUCAGAAAAAAAAUUUAAAAAGAUAUUUUGGUGAAUAUAAAUGGAACUUUAAAAUUAUUUAACCCCAAAUAAGGAGGUAAGGAAAGAAAAACAGAGGAACGAAAGUAGAUUUGAAAAUAGGAAAACAAAUAGUAAAAUGGAAAAUUUAAAUUUAACCAUAUCAAUAAUUACACCAAAUAUAAACUAAUUAAACACUCCAUUUAAAAUGCAGAGAUUAAAUGGCUCAGUGGUAGAAUGCUUGCCUAGUACGUGCAACGCGCUAGGUUCGAUCCUCAGUGCCACAUAAAAAUAAAC
This 1358-nucleotide long non-coding RNA is filed under the name Marmota monax (woodchuck). Lineage: Eukaryota; Metazoa; Chordata; Mammalia; Rodentia; Sciuridae. The record is from RNAcentral.